UUUUGCAUUCAUUGAUAGGUGUCACCGUCAGCAAGGGAUGUGCAUCAACUUGUACUGUAACAACAGCUUUCCCGCGAGAUGAGUGCUGUGAGGGAGAACUGUGUAACGAUAAAUUGAUUUGCUUCAAAUGUGCUGAAACAACCGAUGAAAGUUCCUGUACUUCGAGUCCAUGUGCAGCUGAAGCAUUCUGCAAGAGUGACUACAAACUGAACGGGGCAGGAGUGCCUGUUGUCACUAAGUCCUGUGCAGCUGAUUGCAAAGCUGUUGACAAUACAGCAGACAAAAACGUGAGGACAACUUGCUGCAAAACAGGCUAUUGUAAUGGAAAUGCCUUGAGUUGCAACACUUGUACUAAUGAAGCUGACGAACCAAAAUGUGCAGCAACAGCCUGCGCUGCAGCUGACAAACUAUGUCAGAGCACUUAUACCCUCACUG
Acipenser ruthenus (sterlet) is the source of this 435-nucleotide long non-coding RNA. RefSeq lists it as uncharacterized. The record is from RefSeq and is a predicted model, not a curated record. Lineage: Eukaryota; Metazoa; Chordata; Actinopteri; Acipenseriformes; Acipenseridae. The transcript is spliced from 4 exons.